Molecule: ribosomal RNA, 468 nt
Filed under: uncultured bacterium
Lineage: Bacteria
Description: partial 16S ribosomal RNA
Rfam family: Bacterial small subunit ribosomal RNA
Source: RNAcentral
GACGAACGCUGGCGGCGUGCUUAAUACAUGCAAGUCGAACGGAAAGGCGCUGCUUUUGUGGGGCGCUCGAGUGGCGAACGGGUGAGUAACACGUGAGUAACCCGCCCCUGACUUUGGGAUAACUUUAGGAAACUGGGGCUCAUACCGGAUAUGAGCUCUUGCUGCACGGUGGUGGAUGGAAAGAUUCGGCGGUGGUGGAUGGACUCGCUGCUUAUCCGCUUGUUGGGGUGGUAGGUGCUUACAAAGGCUUCGACGGGUAGCCGGCCUUAGAGGGUUACCGGCCACAUUGGGACUGAGAUACGGCCCAGACUCCUACGGGAGGCAGCAGUGGAGAGUAUUGCACAAUGGGCGGAAGCCUGAUGCAGCAACGCCGCGUGCGGGAUGACGGCCUACGAGUUGUAAACCGAUUUCGACUGUGACGAAGCGUGAGUGACGGUAAUGGGUAAAGAAGCACCGGCUAACUACGUG